Molecule: ribosomal RNA, 253 nt
Filed under: uncultured bacterium
Lineage: Bacteria
Description: partial 16S ribosomal RNA
Rfam family: Bacterial small subunit ribosomal RNA
Source: RNAcentral
UACCGAGGGGGCAAGCGUUGUUCGGAAUUACUGGGCGUAAAGCGCGCGUAGGCGGCUUUGUAAGUUCGAGGUGAAAGCCCGGGGCUCAACUCCGGAACUGCCUUUAAGACUGCAUCGCUUGAAUCCGGGAGAGGUGAGUGGAAUUCCGAGUGUAGAGGUGAAAUGCGUAGAGAUUAGGAAGAACACCAGUGGCGAAGGCGACUUACUGGACUGUAACUGACGCUGAGGCAUGAAAGCGUGGGGAGCAAACAGG